UCUGGUGAAAAUUUACAAGUUCAUGAUGAUGAAGCACUUGCUGAGGGGGAGCAUCAGAAUGUUUCAGACUCUACUCAAGACUCAUCAGAGAAUACUAACUCAAACUCAUCAGAGAAUGCUGAUUCAAACUCUGAUAGCACAAUUGCAGGGGGAGCUACAGAGAAUAAUCAGCAGAAUCAGGAGAGCAUGGAUCAAGGGGGAGGAUCCAAUGAUGAAAAUGGUCAACUUCCACAUGCUAGGAAGUGGACAAAAUCUCACACACCUGAUU
This 268-nucleotide long non-coding RNA is filed under the name Daucus carota (carrot). RNAcentral describes it as "long non-coding RNA (DCAR_LNC005061)". The record is from RNAcentral. Lineage: Eukaryota; Viridiplantae; Streptophyta; Magnoliopsida; Apiales; Apiaceae.